GAUGAACGCUGACAGAAUGCUUAACACAUGCAAGUCGAUGGGGAAGUGGUGCUUGCACCAUGGUAACCAUGGCGGACGGGUGAGUAACGCGUAAGGAACUUACCUGCGGGACCGGGAUAACAGCAGGAAACUGCUGACAAGACCGGAUAAGGUCAUUAAGCUGCAUAGCUUAGUGAUGAAAGGAGACGCCUGCGGAGAGCCUUGCGUCCUAUUAGCUAGUUGGAGGGGUAACGACCCACCAAGGCGAAGAUAGGUAGCCGGCCUGAGAGGGUGGACGGCCACAAGGGGACUGAGAUACGGCCCUUACUCCUACGGGAGGCAGCAGUGGGGAAUAUUGGACAAUGGGGGCAACCCUGAUCCAGCAAUUCUGUGUGCACGAAGACGGUUUUCGGAUUGUAAAGUGCUUUCAGCAGGGAAGAAGGAAGUGACGGUACCUGCAGAAGAAGCGACGGCUAAAUACGUG
RNAcentral lists this ribosomal RNA (463 nucleotides) under uncultured bacterium. Its description in RNAcentral is "partial 16S ribosomal RNA". It matches the Rfam family "Bacterial small subunit ribosomal RNA", at positions 28 to 507 of the family's 1533-position model. The record is from RNAcentral.